This is a long non-coding RNA of Medicago truncatula (barrel medic), 2912 nucleotides long. RefSeq lists it as uncharacterized. The transcript has 2 exons. Lineage: Eukaryota; Viridiplantae; Streptophyta; Magnoliopsida; Fabales; Fabaceae. The record is from RefSeq and is a predicted model, not a curated record.
UUAUGAUUUUUCUUGUGUUAUUAAUUGAUUAUAUAUUUUUUUUAAUAAAAAGAUAUUUUUUAUUUAUUAAAGUAGGACUUACAUUGUACCCAAAAUAAAAGUAGGACUUAUAUUAUUUAUUUUCUUAAGAUAUGUUAAUAAUAACAUUGUUAUCCUUGAUUUCAAGGUUAAACGGUUGACGAUCGAGAAGGUGAUGGAAAUGUAUUUAAGGAAAUGGUGGAUUUAGUCUCUCUGGAAUUGAACAACACCAUCCAUUUUGCAAAAAUGAAUGAUUCACAAUUUCCUAGUGGUAUUCAACCAAACUGCUCCUACACAUGUAGGCUUCUUCUAUUUUCUUUACACUCAUAUAUUUCAUAAUCCACUCAAAGUUUACCAAAUACGUACAAUUUUAUCUGCACACAAUAUAGUCCAAUGGUUUGGGUAUCUAUGCAGGAAGUUUGGGAUUCAAUCAAUGGAGUUAAUAUUUUCUCUAUUCUCCUAAAUAAUUAUUCCCUCCGGUCACAUUUAUAAGCAAAAAAUAAUUUUUUAGGUUCAUUGAAUAACUAAUGUAUCCGAUCAUAAUUAUAGGUCAGAUACAUUAAUUAUACUUAAAAAGUUGUUUUUUGCUUAUAAAUAUGACCGAAGGGAGUAAUUAAUAACAUUUACCUAAAAAAAUAUCACGUAAAAAAAUUUAGAAAAUAAAUACAAAUUUUACACAUGAUUAACUUUGAUUUAUUCUAGGUUCACAAUAUAUUUUAUCACGCCAAAAGCCACUAACAAAAUGCAAGAUCUAUGAUUUUACACUAGCAAAAACCCACUAAAAAUGCAGUGAACCUUCUUAUUAGUAUUAUUUUUUAUUUUAUUUUUUUUUUACAAUGGAAGGGUCGACUUGACGAACUAACCUUAUAAUAUCACAAAAAUUAUGUCAAUCAUAUGUCUUGAUAGCCAUACAACACUCACCAAUAUGAUGAGCAUAACAUACUCCAUUCGACUCUAUUUAUAGGAGACAUUUGGGUCAAGAAAAGUUGAUGUAUCUGGUCUAAUGUUUUAACCAGAUACAUUAACUUUUGUUGACCUAAAUUUUUUUUUAUAAAUAGAAUUGGAUGAAGUAUUUACCAACUUGACGAUAUUUGAUAUUAGUAUUAUUUGUUAGUUUGGUUAAUAUGUCGAUAUUAUGUCUUUGCUACUUCAACAUUUCACACUUCAUGCCCAUUAUGUAAAGUUUCUCUAUUGAUUUGAUUAUUGUUAGAGCAUAUGUAAAGUUUCUCUAUUGAUUUGGUUAAUAUAGCUAGCAAAAAAGUUAAAGCAUAUGUUUGUAUGUAUAGAAAACCAUCAAUCUAGAUCACAUAUAAAGCUCUUAAAUAAAACCAUAGUUUCACCACCUUUAUGAUAAAUAUAAAACUUUAGAUAAACAUAAAAAAUAAUCACAUUGAUAUGAUAUUAACUAAAGUAUUCUCAAUAAAGUAUCAUCUUUAUAGUAUUAGCUUUUUGUAUAAUGGGCAUGAAGUAAGCGAUGUUGUAGAAGCAAAGACAUAAUGUCGACAUAUUAUAACCUUACCUAAUGAACUAAAUAUAAUAUAAUAUAAUAUAAUAUGAGAGAUCAUUAUAUGGACCGACCCUACGAAAAUUUACUAAAACCCUUACUUUAGACCUUCGUUUUACCUUCAUAAUCUCUCUAUAUAUUUAACCAUCAAAUUUUAUGACCUUACUUACAUUUUGAUAUCUAUCUAAAAUUGCACAUUAGUCUCAUUUUCAUAAUUUUUAUCAACAAUUCUACAAUUUUAUCUUCAUUCUUAUACUUAGUCAAAGGUGUAUAUAUAUGUGGCCUAUGCCCCUCUUUACCUCUCGUACCAUGAUUUUCCCACUAGUUAAAUAAUUUGGUCUCAAUUUUUAUAGUUAACAAAAAAUUGUACAUUUGUCAAAAAAAAAAAAAAAUUGUACAUGUGAGGUCCCCACUUGAUUUGCUCCCAUUAGUUUUAUGUUUUAUGACCUCACUCUCCCUUUGAUACCUAACAAAAAUUACACAUAGGAGGCCUCUUCUCAUGAGUUGUUCAAUCUUAUAUCACACUUAGUUUUAGGUCUCAUCUUACCUUGACGCAAUCAUAAAAUUAUACCUAAUAAAAUUAUUUCACGAAAUAUUGGUUAAACAUGAUUGGCGUAUUUACAAAAAAAAUGUACACUAUCAAUAUGUAAUUAUUACACUCGUAUAUGUGUAAGAUUUAACUGGCAAACAUUGUCGUAAAAAGAACUUGUAUUUGUCAACAAAUCAUAAAUCAUCUUAUGCGUGAUAUUCAUGAUAGUUGAGAUUAAACUCAACGUUUUUAUUGAUGUGUCAAUUUAUGAUCGGUUGAUAAUGUAUAAAUUCUUUACAACGAUAGUGUAUCGAAGAUAUACUCAUAUCAUCACAUGUAUACGUGUUUGUAUGUGUGUUUUGCAAGUAAUCAAGUACAAAAAAAAAAACCAAUUCUCUCAAAAAAAAAAAGUUAUAAAAACUCCCAAUUAUAUAUAAAUAUAGUUAUUAUUAUAAAAUAGGCGAGAAAGCUAUUAUGUUCUAUUUCUCUCACCUUUUUGUAGGUUUUUUGACGUGAUUACAAUAUAAUAAAACAAUGCAAUGCAAGUACACUCGUUCAAAUUAGUCAAGUUAGAUCAUCUCAAAGAUAUUUGGGCAAAGCCUGAUUCUCAAGGCGAAUUGUGAGUGAAGUAGGGAAAGCAAGUACAAACAAAGAAUCCAUGGAAAAUACUUAAGAGUAUUUUGCUAGGCGAGCAACGGUUGGCUCAGCUAACUAAGGUGGUUUCAGAAAAUGACAUAGGACGGCUGACUUUUCCCUCUAUUGAGCAAAGCUUGAUUUACUAGGCGAGCAUCACUUUCGUCCAACGAAUGUACACUUGUAGAAACAUUAUAAAUAGGAGUGUGAUUAAUUUUUUUUUAUCAA